ACGAGUGGCGGACGGGUGAGUAACACGUAGGUAACCUGCCCAGAAGCGGGGGACAACAUUUGGAAACAGAUGCUAAUACCGCAUAACAGCGUUGUUCGCAUGAACAACGCUUAAAAGAUGGCUUCUCGCUAUCACUUCUGGAUGGACCUGCGGUGCAUUAGCUUGUUGGUGGGGUAACGGCCUACCAAGGCGAUGAUGCAUAGCCGAGUUGAGAGACUGAUCGGCCACAAUGGGACUGAGACACGGCCCAUACUCCUACGGGAGGCAGCAGUAGGGAAUCUUCCACAAUGGGCGCAAGCCUGAUGGAGCAACACCGCGUGAGUGAAGAAGGGUUUCGGCUCGUAAAGCUCUGUUGUUAAAGAAGAACACGUAUGAGAGUAACUGUUCAUACGUUGACGGUAUUUAACCAGAAAGUCACGGCUAACUACGUGCCAGCAGCCGCGGUAAUACGUAGGUGGCAAGCGUUAUCCGGAUUUAUUGGGCGUAAAGAGAGUGCAGGCGGUUUUCUAAGUCUGAUGUGAAAGCCUUCGGCUUAACCGGAGAAGUGCAUCGGAAACUGGAUAACUUGAGUGCAGAAGAGGGUAGUGGAACUCCAUGUGUAGCGGUGGAAUGCGUAGAUAUAUGGAAGAACACCAGUGGCGAAGGCGGCUACCUGGUCUGCAACUGACGCUGAGACUCGAAAGCAUGGGUAGCGAACAGGAUUAGAUACCCUGGUAGUCCAUGCCGUAAACGAUGAGUGCUAGGUGUUGGAGGGUUUCCGCCCUUCAGUGCCGGAGCUAACGCAUUAAGCACUCCGCCUGGGGAGUACGACCGCAAGGUUGAAACUCAAAGGAAUUGACGGGGGCCCGCACAAGCGGUGGAGCAUGUGGUUUAAUUCGAAGCUACGCGAAGAACCUUACCAGGUCUUGACAUCUUGCGCCAACCCUAGAGAUAGGGCGUUUCCUUCGGGAACGCAAUGACAGGUGGUGCAUGGUCGUCGUCAGCUCGUGUCGUGAGAUGUUGGGUUAAGUCCCGCAACGAGCGCAACCCUUGUUACUAGUUGCCAGCAUUAAGUUGGGCACUCUAGUGAGACUGCCGGUGACAAACCGGAGGAAGGUGGGGACGACGUCAGAUCAUCAUGCCCCUUAUGACCUGGGCUACACACGUGCUACAAUGGACGGUACAACGAGUCGCGAACUCGCGAGGGCAAGCAAAUCUCUUAAAACCGUUCUCAGUUCGGACUGCAGGCUGCAACUCGCCUGCACGAAGUCGGAAUCGCUAGUAAUCGCGGAUCAGCAUGCCGCGGUGAAUACGUUCCCGGGCCUUGUACACACCGCCCGUCACACCAUGAGAGUUUGUAACACCCAAAGUCGGUGGG
RNAcentral lists this ribosomal RNA (1357 nucleotides) under Limosilactobacillus fermentum. RNAcentral describes it as "Lactobacillus fermentum 16S ribosomal RNA". It matches the Rfam family "Bacterial small subunit ribosomal RNA", at positions 91 to 1434 of the family's 1533-position model. The record is from RNAcentral. Lineage: Bacteria; Bacillati; Bacillota; Bacilli; Lactobacillales; Lactobacillaceae.